This 246-nucleotide ribosomal RNA is filed under the name uncultured bacterium. RNAcentral describes it as "partial 16S ribosomal RNA". It matches the Rfam family "Bacterial small subunit ribosomal RNA", at positions 28 to 266 of the family's 1533-position model. The record is from RNAcentral.
GAUGAACGCUGGCGGCGUGCCUAAUACAUGCAAGUCGAACGAGGUGGCUUGAGUAGCAAUACGAGAGUAUCCUAGUGGCGAACGGGUGAGUAACGCGUUGGUGACCUACCCAAAGUGUGGGAUAACAGUCCGAAAGGAUUGCUAAUACCGCAUGUGGUCUUCGGGUUUAGAAACCGAUGGCGAAAGCAGCAAUGCGCUUUGGGAGGGGACCCUGCGUCCCAUCAGCAGUUGGUGAGGUAACGGCUA